AAGUCGUAACAAGGUUUCCGUAGGUGAACCUGCGGAAGGAUCAUUAUUGAAUGCAAUUGGAGUCGGUUGUCGCUGGCCUCUUCACUGAGGCAUGUGCACGCCUUCUCCGUUCAUCCACACACACCUGUGCACUUGUGAGACGGAUUAACCCUUCCGAGGGGAUGCCCCGUCUAUUAUACAUAAACUCCAAUAUAUUAAAUUUGAAUGUAAUCAGAUGUAACACAUCAUUGAACUAA
This 236-nucleotide unclassified non-coding RNA is filed under the name plant metagenome. RNAcentral describes it as "partial contains small subunit ribosomal RNA and internal transcribed spacer 1". The stretch from base 1 to 46 matches the Rfam family "Eukaryotic small subunit ribosomal RNA", at positions 1786 to 1831 of the family's 1831-position model. The record is from RNAcentral.